GUGACUGUAGCUCAAUCGGUAGAGCGCUGGGAUGUGGCCCCAGGUCAUGUGAGGGUUCGAGCCCCUUCAGUCACC
Molecule: transfer RNA, 75 nt
Filed under: Anaerolineae bacterium
Lineage: Bacteria; Bacillati; Chloroflexota; Anaerolineae
Description: tRNA-His
Rfam family: tRNA
About the family: Transfer RNA (tRNA) molecules are approximately 80 nucleotides in length.
Source: RNAcentral